CCUACGGGAGGCAGCAGUGGGGAAUUUUCCGCAAUGGGCGAAAGCCUGACGGAGCAAUACCGCGUGAGGGAGGAAGGCUCUUGGGUUGUAAACCUCUUUUUUCAGGGAAGAUAAUGACGGUACCUGAGGAAUAAGCAUCGGCUAACUCCGUGCCAGCAGCCGCGGUAAUACGGAGGAUGCAAGCGUUAUCCGGAAUGAUUGGGCGUAAAGCGUCCGCAGGUGGUUUUAAAAGUCUGUUGUUAAAGCGUGAGGCUUAACCUCAUAAGGGCAAUGGAAACUGUAAGACUAGAGUACGUUCGGGGCAAGGGGAAUUCCCAGUGUAGCGGUGAAAUGCGUAGAGAUUGGGAAGAACACCGGUGGCGAAAGCGCCUUGCUAGGCCGUAACUGACACUGAGGGACGAAAGCUAGGGGAGCGAAUGGGAUUAGAUACCCCGAGUAGUCCUAGCCGUAAACGAUGGAUACUAGGCGUUGUCUGUAUCGACCCGGACAGUGCCGUAGCUAACGCGUUAAGUAUCCCGCCUGGGGAGUACGCACGCAAGUGUGAAACUCAAAGGAAUUGACGG
Molecule: ribosomal RNA, 563 nt
Filed under: uncultured bacterium
Lineage: Bacteria
Description: bacterial SSU rRNA
Rfam family: Bacterial small subunit ribosomal RNA
Source: RNAcentral